UUAUUAUUACUAGAAACCUUUGUGUCUUGCUCUUGCUGUUCACUCACAUCAGUUAGUUCCUCAGAAGGGGUCUCAUCUGUUGAAUUAGGUUCCUUUUUAAGCUCGGACUCGAACUCCUUCGCUGCCUACAAGAUUCAAAAAUCUAAUGAGUGCCCAAUUAUGCAAUGAUGUAAAGCAUUUAACUGUUUAUAGAUGGCAUUAUGUCAAUGCUAAUUUCCUUAGAAUCUUGGCCACUUAUUAACAUGAUGAGUGCUGACUUCAUGCAUAAGCAUAACCCACAUCUGAUGCAAAACAAGGACAUUUGCAGAUUAAUACAAGUUAAAUCAAUGAUUCAAAGGUAUUGAAUACAGUAGCCGGAUAUGACAUCCUCUUUUCCUCCUAUGAAUGACCUCUUCAGUUUCUUGAAUGACCUUGUUUUAUUUAUUCCGUCCAUUUUUAUAGUACCAUAUUUUAGUUUUACCUUCAAGUUUUAAAUGCGCCUUUAUCCCAAAAGAGAAAACCAUAAUACCAAGAAAUCAAAUAAAAUAGUGGCAUUUCAAUCACUCAAUCAGUCUACUAAACAUUAACAGUAUUCUUUUUAGGUUGGGGGAGUGGAAGAAAACAGACACUCACCAAUAUUUUCUGUGUUAAAAAGCAUGUCUAUAAGAAGCUCCAACUAACAGCUUCUACCUACUAUUUGCAUGUGUUCCCUCAAAGUUUCAUGUAUUGGAAGAGAAAGAUUAACACAUUUUGUGAUAAGUGUAAGCCAAACCUACAUAAAGAUGCUUCGUCUAGGUCCAGGUGAGUGGGUUCCAAAUUUCCAAUCAUGCCUUGGGUGGAUAGGGGAGUAGGGAACAUUUAUGAACUUCAUGACUAAAAUGUACUACAUGUCUAAUGGAAUAUAAUUUAGAUAUCAAUUGAUCAACAAAUAUCAAUAGGAAAUCUUCCAAAAGGCAUCCAUCCACAACAAUUGAAUGAUGACUCUUUCAUUCUCGAAGAUGGAUAAUUUUUUGGUAAUACUAAGAGUAUACCCUCACCCUAUGUUCCCUUUUGGUGUGUAUGAUUGCCCCUCCCAACAAGUGUCGCUUCCAAGAAUCAAACUCUUGACAUUUUGGUCUUAUGGGGAUCUAGCGGGGCCUUAAUCCAGCAUCAGCGCCCGUAAAAAUGAAUUGAGACUGCUGCAAUAACAUUCAGAGUAUGUUUGAAGAAGAGCAACGUUCCUUACUCAAGUUUCUACCACACGUUUAUUUGAUUUAACAACAGAAUAGGAUCUAAAUUAGCAUAACUAUAAAUAUACCACUGCAAAAUAUUGGUAGUUAGAAUAGCUAUAUGGUUGUUGUUUAGAGUUAGAAAUUAAAAACAAACCAAUGAAGUCAUUGAGGUCAAUGUAACAUGAAGUGAGAUUUAUAUGUUGAAUGUUAAUUCAUUUGGAGUAUUUUCUCCUUGACUUGAAAAGGGAGGUCCUAUCAAUUGGUGCUCCCCUCUAUGUAACCUCCUGAGCACAACAAUAAGGUUGUUGCCUUUUGACCUGACCCUGGUUCAAAUCCACGAAACAGUCUUUCUAAGAUUGCAUGCAUUUACCUACCCAUACUUUAUUAGGUGAGGGUCUCGCGCACUAGGUUGCCCUCAACCUCAAAGUCAAAGAGAAACAAUCUUAAAUGAAUUAAUUAACAUCCACUAAAUAACUUUCACUAAGUCUAGCACCUUCUGCAUGUCAUAUAUCCUUCAACUAGAAAAUAACUUUAAAUUUAUUCAUCAAUUCAUUGAAACAAAAGAAAAUUGGCAUCAGUAACACUAACUAUGAACAAAAAAAAUCGCAAAACGGGUAAUAAAAAAAGCAGAAACCUGUUGGAAGCCCUUAAUGGUUUUUCCAAAGCUACGACCAACUUGGGGCAAAUUCUUGGGUCCAAAAAGAAGGGCAGCAACACCAGCUAUAACUGCUAGUUCCGGAACACCGAGUCCAAACAAGGCGUUGCAAGUGAGAGGCUUCGUUAUUCUGAUUUGGAUUCUACUUCUUCUCGAAGUGAUACUCAUCUUUUCAGUUUUCAUUAACAAAUUUGAAUUGGAGGCAGAGAAUGAUAAUUGGUAUGAAGAUAAAUGAAGGCCUUUAGGAAUUGAAGAAGAAGAAUAAGAGGGGAGGGUAAGAGAAGCAGUGAUCGUUUCCAUGAUUUUGUUUUCAGUUUUCUCAACCGUGUCUAGUGGCUAAGAGAUUAGAUAAUAAAUGUUUGUUUUUGUUUCUCCCAAGUCGAAACAACCCUGUCUUUAAUGGGUACAAGCACACGUCAUGUCUGCCGAUGAAUACGGUGGGAUACUACAUAUUCAAUUUUAUAUAUUAUAUAUUAUUUUUUUUUAUGAUAAUGUUUAAUUUAAUCUUCUACUCUAAGAUUUUCAAGCUUCUUGGACUCUUCAAUUGCUACUACAAUAUGAUCAAAGCUAGGUGUCAAUGUUCUCAAUAUUUUUUCCAUAAUAGUUUGAUCAGAAAUCAGUUCACCACACACUUUCAUUGCAUUUGUGUGGCUGAUGAUUCUGUUGCAAAAUUGUGCCACCCUCUCAUUAGAAAUUUCCAUAAGGAAACUCCAUUAAACCAAGUUAGUCCAUUUUCACGGAGAAAAAGUAAAAUCAGAUUUAGUGAUCAAUGUUCUAUAAUAGAUCAUUUAUAGUGGUACUUCAUAGUUGGUAAUUGUAAGUUUAGCAACAUUGAUUUUUGCAAUAUUUUACAUACAUGUCAUAUAAGAAAGAUCAUAAAGUUGUUAAACUUAUACUUAUAUCUCACAAAAGUCCAAAUACUUUACUUAUACUUGUAUCUCUAUGUUAAACUAGUUUUGACCCAUUAAUUGUAUCAUUUUUUUCUUUAGCAUCUCCCACAAUGAUGGAAUGCAAACAAAUAUUAGUUGCAUUCUGUAUGCCCUUGUAAAGGUGCAACUAUCUCAUGAUUUUUCGGAGUGGUUGCCUAGUAUAAAGGAAAUGGAGAAUUUUUAGAUAUCACACUCUAAAGGCAAAACUACUACACCAACAUAGCUCAAUCACAAAAGAAUAGUUUCUUUCAAAUACAUGACUCCAUGGUCAAAGUUUAACAAAAUAUACCUACUUAGCAUAUCUUUUACAUCUCAUACAUUAUCCUUAUUAUUACUAGAAACCUUUGUGUCUUGCUCUUGCUGUUCACUCACAUCAGUUAGUUCCUCAGAAGGGGUCUCAUCUGUUGAAUUAGGUUCCUUUUUAAGCUCGGACUCGAACUCCUUCGCUGCCUACAAGAUUCAAAAAUCUAAUGAGUGCCCAAUUAUGCAAUGAUGUAAAGCAUUUAACUGUUUAUAGAUGGCAUUAUGUCAAUGCUAAUUUCCUUAGAAUCUUGGCCACUUAUUAACAUGAUGAGUGCUGACUUCAUGCAUAAGCAUAACCCACAUCUGAUGCAAAACAAGGACAUUUGCAGAUUAAUACAAGUUAAAUCAAUGAUUCAAAGGUAUUGAAUACAGUAGCCGGAUAUGACAUCCUCUUUUCCUCCUAUGAAUGACCUCUUCAGUUUCUUGAAUGACCUUGUUUUAUUUAUUCCGUCCAUUUUUAUAGUACCAUAUUUUAGUUUUACCUUCAAGUUUUAAAUGCGCCUUUAUCCCAAAAGAGAAAACCAUAAUACCAAGAAAUCAAAUAAAAUAGUGGCAUUUCAAUCACUCAAUCAGUCUACUAAACAUUAACAGUAUUCUUUUUAGGUUGGGGGAGUGGAAGAAAACAGACACUCACCAAUAUUUUCUGUGUUAAAAAGCAUGUCUAUAAGAAGCUCCAACUAACAGCUUCUACCUACUAUUUGCAUGUGUUCCCUCAAAGUUUCAUGUAUUGGAAGAGAAAGAUUAACACAUUUUGUGAUAAGUGUAAGCCAAACCUACAUAAAGAUGCUUCGUCUAGGUCCAGGUGAGUGGGUUCCAAAUUUCCAAUCAUGCCUUGGGUGGAUAGGGGAGUAGGGAACAUUUAUGAACUUCAUGACUAAAAUGUACUACAUGUCUAAUGGAAUAUAAUUUAGAUAUCAAUUGAUCAACAAAUAUCAAUAGGAAAUCUUCCAAAAGGCAUCCAUCCACAACAAUUGAAUGAUGACUCUUUCAUUCUCGAAGAUGGAUAAUUUUUUGGUAAUACUAAGAGUAUACCCUCACCCUAUGUUCCCUUUUGGUGUGUAUGAUUGCCCCUCCCAACAAGUGUCGCUUCCAAGAAUCAAACUCUUGACAUUUUGGUCUUAUGGGGAUCUAGCGGGGCCUUAAUCCAGCAUCAGCGCCCGUAAAAAUGAAUUGAGACUGCUGCAAUAACAUUCAGAGUAUGUUUGAAGAAGAGCAACGUUCCUUACUCAAGUUUCUACCACACGUUUAUUUGAUUUAACAACAGAAUAGGAUCUAAAUUAGCAUAACUAUAAAUAUACCACUGCAAAAUAUUGGUAGUUAGAAUAGCUAUAUGGUUGUUGUUUAGAGUUAGAAAUUAAAAACAAACCAAUGAAGUCAUUGAGGUCAAUGUAACAUGAAGUGAGAUUUAUAUGUUGAAUGUUAAUUCAUUUGGAGUAUUUUCUCCUUGACUUGAAAAGGGAGGUCCUAUCAAUUGGUGCUCCCCUCUAUGUAACCUCCUGAGCACAACAAUAAGGUUGUUGCCUUUUGACCUGACCCUGGUUCAAAUCCACGAAACAGUCUUUCUAAGAUUGCAUGCAUUUACCUACCCAUACUUUAUUAGGUGAGGGUCUCGCGCACUAGGUUGCCCUCAACCUCAAAGUCAAAGAGAAACAAUCUUAAAUGAAUUAAUUAACAUCCACUAAAUAACUUUCACUAAGUCUAGCACCUUCUGCAUGUCAUAUAUCCUUCAACUAGAAAAUAACUUUAAAUUUAUUCAUCAAUUCAUUGAAACAAAAGAAAAUUGGCAUCAGUAACACUAACUAUGAACAAAAAAAAUCGCAAAACGGGUAAUAAAAAAAGCAGAAACCUG
RNAcentral lists this long non-coding RNA (4926 nucleotides) under Lupinus angustifolius (narrow-leaved blue lupine). RNAcentral describes it as "long non-coding RNA (LANG_LNC001342)". Lineage: Eukaryota; Viridiplantae; Streptophyta; Magnoliopsida; Fabales; Fabaceae. The record is from RNAcentral.